GACAGAGGGUGCAAACGUUGUUCGGAUUUACUGGGCGUAAAGCGCGUGUAGACGGCUUUACAAGUCGGAUGUGAAAGCCCACGGCUCAACCGUGGAAGUGCAUCCGAAACUGUAUCACUGGAGUCCCGGAGAGGAAGGUGGAAUGCUUAGUGUAGAGGUGAAAUUCGUAGAUAUCAAGCAGAACACCUGCGGCGAAGACGGCCUUCUGGACGGUGACUAACGCUAAGACGCGAAAGCGUGGGGAGCAAACAGG
This 253-nucleotide ribosomal RNA is filed under the name uncultured bacterium. RNAcentral describes it as "partial 16S ribosomal RNA". It matches the Rfam family "Bacterial small subunit ribosomal RNA", at positions 524 to 776 of the family's 1533-position model. The record is from RNAcentral.